RNAcentral lists this ribosomal RNA (459 nucleotides) under uncultured bacterium. Its description in RNAcentral is "partial 16S ribosomal RNA". It matches the Rfam family "Bacterial small subunit ribosomal RNA", at positions 338 to 795 of the family's 1533-position model. The record is from RNAcentral.
CCUACGGGAGGCAGCAGUGAGGAAUAUUGGUCAAUGGGCGGGAGCCUGAACCAGCCAAGCCGCGUGAGGGAAGAAGGUACAGCGUAUCGUAAACCUCUUUUGUCAGGGAACAAAGGCGGGGACUAGUCCCCGGAUGAGGAUACCUGAAGAAAAAACAUCGGCUAACUCCGUGCCAGCAGCCGCGGUAAUACGGAGGCUGCGAGCGUUAUCCGGAUUUAUUGGGUUUAAAGGGUGCGCAGGCGGCCUGUUAAGUCAGCGGGAAAAGCCCGGGGCUCAACCCCGGCGAGCCGUUGAAACUGGCGGGCUGGAGUUGGAGAGAAGUACGCGGAAUGCGCGGUGUAGCGGUGAAAUGCUUAGAUAUCGCGCAGAACCCCGAUUGCGAAGGCAGCGUACCGGCUCCACACUGACGCUGAGGCACGAAAGCGUGGGUAUCGAACAGGAUUAGAUACCCUAGUAGUC